AUUGAACGCUGGCGGCAUGCUUUACACAUGCAAGUCGAACGGCAGCGGGGACUUCGGUCCGCCGGCGAGUGGCGAACGGGUGAGUAAUGCAUCGGAACGUGCCUAUCAGUGGGGGAUAACGCUUCGAAAGGAGUGCUAAUACCGCAUAUUCUCUGAGGAGAAAAGCAGGGGACCUUAGGGCCUUGCGCUGAUAGAGCGGCCGAUGUCGGAUUAGCUAGUUGGUGAGGUAAAGGCUCACCAAGGCGACGAUCCGUAGCGGGUCUGAGAGGAUGAUCCGCCACACUGGGACUGAGACACGGCCCAGACUCCUACGGGAGGCAGCAGUGGGGAAUUUUGGACAAUGGGCGAAAGCCUGAUCCAGCCAUGCCGCGUGAGUGAAGAAGGCC
Molecule: ribosomal RNA, 386 nt
Filed under: uncultured bacterium
Lineage: Bacteria
Description: bacterial SSU rRNA
Rfam family: Bacterial small subunit ribosomal RNA
Source: RNAcentral